UUUAAUAAAUUUAAAAACGACGGGCAAUAUGUACAUAUUUUAAAAAUUAUUCAAAUUUAAUAUAUAUUAAAUUUUAAUAUUAAAUCCUAUUUAAAAAAAAUAUUACAAUUUUAAAUCCAUUAAUUUAAUUUAAUUGUAUUUCAUUUACAAUUUAAAUUAUAAUAUGCAUAUUUAUUUGAAUUAAUUUAUAAAAAAAAAUAAAAUGAAUUAAUAAUUAAUAUAUUAAUUUAAUACAACAAUAUACAAUAAAAUAAAAAUAAAUAUAUUAUAAAGUGUAAUAUCUAUUAAAUAACAAAAUCCUCUAAUUUUAUAAAAUACUGCCAUUUUAAUUAACUUUUUAAAAUAAAAUUAUAACUAUAUUUUAUUUAAUUAUUAAAAAUAAUA
Molecule: ribosomal RNA, 384 nt
Filed under: Oligotrophus panteli
Lineage: Eukaryota; Metazoa; Arthropoda; Insecta; Diptera; Cecidomyiidae
Description: partial 12S ribosomal RNA
Source: RNAcentral